AUUGAACGCUGGCGGCAGGCCUAACACAUGCAAGUCGAGCGGAAACGAGAUAUCUGAACCUUCGGGGAACGAUAUCGGCGUCGAGCGGCGGACGGGUGAGUAAUGCCUGGGAAAUUGCCCUGAUGUGGGGGAUAACCAUUGGAAACGAUGGCUAAUACCGCAUAAUAGCUUCGGCUCAAAGAGGGGGACCUUCGGGCCUCUCGCGUCAGGAUAUGCCCAGGUGGGAUUAGCUAGUUGGUGAGGUAAGGGCUCACCAAGGCGACGAUCCCUAGCUGGUCUGAGAGGAUGAUCAGCCACACUGGAACUGAGACACGGUCCAGACUCCUACGGGAGGCAGCAGUGGGGAAUAUUGCACAAUGGGCGCAAGCCUGAUGCAGCCAUGCCGCGUGUGUGAAGAAGGCCUUCGGGUUGUAAAGCACUUUCAGUCGUGAGGAAGGUAGUGUGUUUAAUAGAUGCAUUAUUUGACGUUAGCGACAGAAGAAGCACCGGCUAACUCCGUGCCAGCAGCCGCGGUAAUACGGAGGGUGCGAGCGUUAAUCGGAAUUACUGGGCGUAAAGCGCAUGCAGGUGGUGUGUUAAGUCAGAUGUGAAAGCCCGGGGCUCAACCUCGGAAUUGCAUUUGAAACUGGCAGACUAGAGUACUGUAGAGGGGGGUAGAAUUUCAGGUGUAGCGGUGAAAUGCGUAGAGAUCUGAAGGAAUACCGGUGGCGAAGGCGGCCCCCUGGACAGAUACUGACACUCAGAUGCGAAAGCGUGGGGAGCAAACAGGAUUAGAUACCCUGGUAGUCCACGCCGUAAACGAUGUCUACUUGGAGGUUGUGGCCUUGAGCCGUGGCUUUCGGAGCUAACGCGUUAAGUAGACCGCCUGGGGAGUACGGUCGCAAGAUUAAAACUCAAAUGAA
This 902-nucleotide ribosomal RNA is filed under the name Vibrio proteolyticus. RNAcentral's name for it is "bacterial SSU rRNA". It matches the Rfam family "Bacterial small subunit ribosomal RNA", at positions 28 to 909 of the family's 1533-position model. The record is from RNAcentral. Lineage: Bacteria; Pseudomonadati; Pseudomonadota; Gammaproteobacteria; Vibrionales; Vibrionaceae.